CUGCACCACCGGCUUUCCACAAGCCUCUCUCUCCCACCCAAGCUUCUCUCCACCUCCCACAAUCCUCCUGCUCUUGAGGCCGAUUGGGUGGGUCACGUGGGCGGAGCCAAAAAAGUCCCCCAAUGAGCAGCUCCGUGGUCUGAAAGGGCAGGGAAGCAGCCCAAUGAGCAUCACCGCAGAGGAGCCAAUCAGCUAGAUGUUGCUGGGGCCGAGGAGCCAAUCAGCUAGAUGUUGCUGGGGCCGCUGUGAGCCAAUCAUCAGCCGGCAGCUGGAAGUUUGCUGGCAGCUGGAAGUUUGCUGGGGCCCCUUCGGCUGUGGCUCUCAACAGGAAUGGCUCUUCAAUGUGUCCAGAGUUACCUGUGUGUCCAGAGUUCCCAGAGUUGCCUUGUCCUGAGUUGCCUGAGUUGCUGGGGCCAGGAUGAAUAUCCUGAGAACCUUCCAUGCAGAUGCAACCUGGGAGAUAGAAAAAGCCCCAAGCAAAAAGAAGGUCCUGAAGGUCCACAGGGAAUGACUUCCCUGAGGGAAAGCAUAAGCCAAAGCCAAAAAGAGGGUCAGGAGAGACCCCAAGGGAAAGACCCCAUGUGGGAGAGCAUUAGCCUUUGCCUGGUGUUUUUAAUUAAAAAACAAGAAUGUCCUUGGGAUUUUAAUAGGAAUUGCAUUAAAUCUUUGUAAAAGUUUUGGUAGUAUGGCCAUUUUUGGCUAUAUUAUUUCUGC
RNAcentral lists this long non-coding RNA (714 nucleotides) under Marmota monax (woodchuck). The record is from RNAcentral. Lineage: Eukaryota; Metazoa; Chordata; Mammalia; Rodentia; Sciuridae.